UGGCGCGGCUGCCCCUCUGUUGGUCUUCCUUGGUCUCUUGUGUUCUGGGGGCCUCUGGAUGUCUGGAGUUUUGAUCUCCUCCAUACCUGCUUCAUGCCCUGGAGGACGGGGCUGUGGCCCCCCCACACCCUCUAGCAGAUCAUUACAUGAAGGAACCUUUUAAAAAAACAAGCGCGUCCAUUUACCGGUCGAUCUACGUCCCUACCCUCACCUAUGGCCACGAGCUGUGGGUAGUGACCGAAAGAAUGAGAUCGCGGAUACAAGCGGCAGAAAUGAGCUUCCUCCGAAGGGUGGCUGGCCUCUCCCUUAGAGAUAGGGUGAGAAGUUCGGCCAUCCGGGAGGGGCUCAGAGUAGAGCAGCUGCUGCUCCACAUCGAAAGGAGCCAGCUGAGGUGGUUCGGGCAUCUGACAAGGAUGCCCCCUGGGCGCCUCCUGGGUGAGGUGUUCCAGGCAUGUCCCACCGGGAGGAGGCCCCGGGGCAGACCCAGGACACGCUGGAGAGAUUAUAUCUCUCGGCUGGCCUGGGAACGCCUUGGUGUUCCCCCGGAUAAGCUGGAGGAGGUGGCUGGGGAGAGGGAGGUCUGGGCCUCUUUGCUUAGGCUGCUGCCCCCGCGACCCGGCUCCGGAUAAAGCGGAUGAAGAUGGAUGGAUGGAAGCGCGUCCAUGCUCACAGGUGUACACACGGGUGAUCACACCCACAAACUACACCCUUUUUGGCUCCUACCUCAAAGCACACUGUGUUCUGUUGAUCCUAUGUGCUGCACAAUAAUGUUUAAUAUUUAGUAUUUACUGUCAUAUUCCCAUAUAUCAUUGUGAUGUUGUUUAUUCUAUUACUCUUGUUCUCUUCUGCUUGUUUUCUUUUUUCUUUCUCAACAGGUGAUCCAGGUGAUCGAUAGAUGCAUUUUUUUUUCUUUUUCUGCCCAUUCUGUUGGUUUUUGUUUUUUUGCCCUUCUCCCCUAUCCCUCUUCUCAGCUCUUUCUCUUUCUUUCUCCCCUUCUUUCCCCCAGUCAAGUCUGUCCCGUAUUCAACAAGUGAAAAUAAAAUAAACAAUAAAAGGUGAAUCAAAUGGACCAUUACGGCAAGGCUGGGAUGGUCAAUUUGGUAAAGUAAAUCCGUUGGGCAUCUUUCUUUGCCUUUAGACAAUAAUUCUGAUGGCAAAAGAGCCAAACGGGACAGGCAAAAAAAAAAAAAAAAGUCCUCUCUCCUCAACAUCUCUAUACCACCACAGAUAUGUCAUGUGGACCAACUGCCUUUCCUCUCUUCAUAGCUGCCUUCACUUCCUCCUUACUUAUCCCCUGCGCUUCCUGAUUCACUAACUUUCCUCCAUCUGUCCUCAGUUUCUGUCUUUAUUAAUGUCUUCAUUAAUGAAGACAGUGAGAGAAUACUUCUAUCUUCCAUCUUCUCAACACACUCUCUUCACCAUCUUUAUCCUUAAUCACUCUAACCUGCUGCACAUCCUUUUCAGCUCAAUCUCUGUAUAGCUAAUUCAUGCAAGUACUGUUCUCCUUCCUUAGUACCCAGCCUCACGUACAACUCAGUAUAAGCUUUUUCCUUUGCCACCUCUAUCUUUGCAGUUGGCCUGGCCUCCCAGUAUUCCUGUCUACUUUUAUCCAUCUCCCCUGACUAUCGCACUUUCUCUUAGCUAUUCCUUUGAGGAACUACAGGAAAGUGUCCAAUCCACCACCAAGUCUCCUUGUCCUCUUUUCUCUCUCCAAAAGAUACACCAAACACCUUCUUUGCCUUUCUCUCACCAUUUCAGUUGUAUUUUUCCAGUCAUCUGGUAACACUUCCCUUCCACCCAGAGAAUGUCUACUCCUCCCUGAACUAACAACUGCACAACAUUCUUCCUUCUUCAGCUUCCACCAUUUAGUUCUUGUCUCUGCCUUCAUUCUCUUCCUCUUCUUGACGUCCAAAGUCAUCCUAUAGACUAGUGUCCAAUGCUGCAUGGCUACAUUCUCUCCUGACACCACCUUGCAGUCUCCUAUCUCUUUCAGACUGACCCUUCUGUUUAGGAUGUAAGCCACCUGUGUACACUUUCUUCCACUCUUCUACGUCACCUUCUGUUCCUCCUUCUUCUUGAAGUAUGAGUUCACCCCAGCCAUUUCCAUCUUCCUAAUUUUGACCUUGUGCAUUUCUCUGCUUAACACUAUACCUAUCUAACACCUCAUUAUCUCUCUUUCCUUCACCUACAUGGCUACUGAAGUCUGCUCCAAUCAACACUCUCUACCACUUUAUCAAACUAACUGCAGAAUUCCUCUUUCUCUUCUAACUGACAUCCAACCUUCAACCUGGUCUCCUGCACACACAUGACCCUCCCCCCGCGCACCUGCACUGCAGCUCUCAAACUUUUGCAGGGCAUGUGACGUCAUUCAGUCCACAGUCGGAGUAGCCGUUUAAGUGGAGCUCUGAAGACUGCAAAUCACGCUUUCUGCAGGUGAAGGAAGCCACGGCAGCAAGCCAAAUACAGACGAUAACGUGGCGCUCGCAUGCAGUGAUAAUGGCUGUUCUGAUAGUGGUGUUUUUUGUGACUCCAGAUGGCUAAUAUUUGACAUAGCAGCUACUCCGUGUCCCCCAGAGAAAUGAAAAAGGAGGAGGCAGUGAGAUGGAUGAAGGUGGAAGUUCUGAGCAUUUCUCCUCUCAAAAGAGACCGGAGCCCACCAGUGAAGAGAGUUCAGAUGUAGAUGAAGAGAGCAAGGAAGCAAGACUGGCUUUGAGGAAAAGGGGAAAAACCAAAGUGGCCAAAGCAAAGGAGAUCCCCCGUGCGAAGGUCAAGAGGCCAUGGAGUGAAGCAGAGAAGACGGCAGUGCAAAGACGGCUGGGAAUUAUGUAGGAAGCAGGAAGGUCAUACUGGUACAGUUGUAGCCAUCCUAAGCUUUACUGAUUUUUCUUUUUGGCAGAAGUCAAAACAAACUGAUCAAAGUUAUUGAUCACUAUUUUAGUUGUAAGUCAUUAGACUUAAUAGUUGUCUUCAUUGUUAUAAUAGCAAUUAUUAUUCCUCUGGAAGGAUGUUACAUUGUGAAAUAAACUGAAUUUGCUCUUGUUGCAGCAUUGUGGGAAUUUCCUUGGUAAUUAUUAAUAAAAUCUACAGCGGUAUUUGAAAUGUAAUACUACCUUUUGUUAUGUAGGGUUGUCUUGAUAGAUUAUCAGAACUUUUUAGUUAUUCUAUUUAUGUAUAAAGUUGAGACUGUUUAACUUUAACAUUAUUUGGUUGCACUAAAAUAGAAAAUGUCAAGGAGUAAAUGCAAACAGAAAAAAACAUAUAGACAGAAACGAACACAAAAGCACCCCCUGGUGGAAAAUCACCUGAAUAGCACUCAAUGACAAGGUCCUCAUUCUGAUAGUAGAAUGAGUUUUUUUUUUUACUUGAGUGUUUUAAGAUUUUGAGGUGAUUUUUGGUGUUAGAGAGCCACCCAGUGUUCAAAAUUGGCAAAGGUUUGUCUGCAAGUGUAGCAGAAAUGGUGGUCCUCACUUUGAUAGUACACUUACCCGGUCCUCAGUCGUUAUGCAAGACAGGAAUGUGUGUGUGUGUGUGUGUGUGUGUGU
Astatotilapia calliptera (eastern happy) is the source of this 3542-nucleotide long non-coding RNA. NCBI's taxonomy places the organism in Eukaryota, Metazoa, Chordata, Actinopteri, Cichliformes, Cichlidae. The record is from Ensembl.